UGUGCCAGCAGCCGCGGUAAUUCCAGCUCCAAUAGCGUAUAUUAAAGUUGUUGCAGUUAAAAAGCUCGUAGUUGAACCUUGGGCCUGGCUAGCCGGUCCGCCUCACCGCGUGUACUGGUCCGGCUGGGCCUUUCCUUCUGGGGAUCCGCAUGCCCUUCACUGGGUGUGUCGGGGAACCAGGACUUUUACUGCGAAAAAAUUAGAGUGUUCAAAGCAGGCCUUCGCUCGAAUACAUUAGCAUGGAAUAAUAGAAUAGGACGUUGCGGUUCUAUUUUGUUGGUUUCUAGGACCGCCGUAAUGAUUAAUAGGGAUAGUCGGGGGCAUCAGUAUUCAAUUGUCAGAGGUGAAAUUCUUGGAUUUAUUGAAGACUAACUACUGCGAAAGCAUUUGCCAAGGAUGUUUUCAUUAAUCAGGAACGAAAGUUAGGGGAUCGAAGACGAUCAGAUACCGUCGUAGUCUUAACCAUAAACUAUGCCGACUAGGGAUCGGGCGAUGUUAUCAUUUUGACUCGCUCGGCACCUUACGAGAAAUCAUAAGUUUUUGGGUUCUGGGGGGAGUAUGGUCGCAAGGCUGAAACUUAAAGAAAUUGGCGGAAGGGCACCACCAGGCGUGGAGCCUGCGGCUUAAUUUGACUCAACACGGGGAAACUCACCAGGUCCAGACACAAUAAGGAUUGACAGAUUGAGAGCUCUUUCUUGAUUUUGUGGGUGGUGGUGCAUGGCCGUUCUUAGUUGGUGGAGUGAUUUGUCUGCUUAAUUGCGAUAACGAACGAGACCUUAACCUACUAAAUAGCCCGGCCCGCUUUUGCGGGUCGUG
Molecule: ribosomal RNA, 816 nt
Filed under: uncultured fungus
Lineage: Eukaryota; Fungi
Description: SSU rRNA
Rfam family: Eukaryotic small subunit ribosomal RNA
Source: RNAcentral